GUGAUGGGAUAUGUAGUUCCCCUGGAUUGAAUAAAGGCGCUGGAAACGUCCAUGGACUUCCUCUUUACUUAGCGAGCCUGUGGAGCACAGGCCAAAAUAAGCAACCAUGCCCACUGCCAGGAGCUGGGUUUGUCGAAAGACCUAUGUCACCCCCCGUCGUCCCUUCGAGAAGUCUCGUCUCGACCAGGAGCUGAAACUCAUUGGUGAGUAUGGGCUCAGGAACAAGCGUGAGGUGUGGAGAGUUAAAUUCACCCUGGCCAAGAUCCGCAAGGCUGCCAGAGAGCUGCUCACCCUGGACGAGAAAGAACCCAAGCGUCUCUUUGAAGGUAAUGCUCUGUUGAGACGUCUUGUCAGAAUCGGUGUCCUCGACGAGGGUAAGAUGAAGUUGGAUUACAUCCUCGGCCUGAAGGUUGAAGAUUUCUUGGAGAGGAGGCUGCAGACCCAGGUCUUCAAGCUCGGGCUUGCCAAGAGCAUCCACCAUGCUCGUGUCCUGAUCCGUCAGAGACAUAUCCGAGGGCCACCAACAUGUAUUGCUCUUCGUUGAGAUGAAUUAAGCAUAUCACCAAGGUCACUUCGGUAUCAAAGCCGUAUACCUUGUCAGUAGAACUUGCCCAGAGCCAAUCCCAUCCAAGCGAGAGGGCUUUGGUCGAUGCCAUGUCACUGGCUGAGAGCGUGCGUAAGCAGGUGGUGAACAUCCCCUCGUUCGUGGUGCGCCUUGACAGCCAGAAGCACAUCGACUUCUCCCUGAGGUCUCCAUACGGUGGCGGACGUCCUGGCCGCGUCAAGCGAAAGAACGCCAAGAAGGGACAGGGUGGAUCCGGAGGCGCUGAUGAUGAGGA
Gadus macrocephalus (Pacific cod) is the source of this 839-nucleotide RNA transcript. It is a transcript of the gene named ribosomal protein S9, with no coding region annotated. The record is from RefSeq and is a predicted model, not a curated record. NCBI's taxonomy places the organism in Eukaryota, Metazoa, Chordata, Actinopteri, Gadiformes, Gadidae. The transcript has 6 exons.